CGUAGAGAAAUCGAGUCUUAAUAGGGCGUUUAGUUGCUGGGUAUAGACCCGAAACCAGGCGAUCUAUCCAUGAGCAGGUUGAAGGUUGGGUAACACUAACUGGAGGACCGAACCCACUGUCGUUGAAAAGCCAGGGGAUGACUUGUGGAUAGGGGUGAAAGGCUAAUCAAGCCUGGUGAUAGCUGGUUCUCCCCGAAAGCUAUUUAGGUAGCGCCUCGGACGAAUACCAUAGGGGGUAGAGCACUGUUUCGGCUAGGGGGUCAUCCCGACUUACCAAACCGAUGCAAACUCCGAAUACCUAUGAGUACUAUCCGGGAGACAGACUGCGGGUGCUAACGUCCGUAGUCAAGAGGAAAACAAUCCAGA
This 366-nucleotide ribosomal RNA is filed under the name Acinetobacter baumannii. Its description in RNAcentral is "partial 23S ribosomal RNA". It matches the Rfam family "Bacterial large subunit ribosomal RNA", at positions 667 to 1031 of the family's 2925-position model. Lineage: Bacteria; Pseudomonadati; Pseudomonadota; Gammaproteobacteria; Moraxellales; Moraxellaceae. The record is from RNAcentral.